This 253-nucleotide ribosomal RNA is filed under the name uncultured bacterium. Its description in RNAcentral is "partial 16S ribosomal RNA". It matches the Rfam family "Bacterial small subunit ribosomal RNA", at positions 524 to 776 of the family's 1533-position model. The record is from RNAcentral.
UACGGAGGGAGCUAGCGUUGUUCGGAUAUACUGGGCGUAAAGCGCACGUAGGCGGCGCCGUAAGUCAGGGGUGAAAUCCCGGGGCUCAACUCCGGAACUGCCUUUAAGACUGCAUCGCUAGAAUUGUGGAGAGGUGAGUGGAAUUCCGAGUGUAGAGGUGAAAUUCGUAGAUAUUCGGAAGAACACCAGUGGCGAAGGCGACUCACUGGACACAUAUUGACGCUGAGGUGCGAAAGCGUGGGGAGCAAACAGG